ACCCUGCAACACCCAUUGCAUUUUUCUUCAGCAUGACCAACAACUCCACCACCUCCGAACUUAACCAUGGCCAGCUACCCAAUAUAUCGUCCAGAUGCUUGACGGAUAGCAUCACCGCGUCACACGAUUUCGAGGUGGCCAGUUACCAGUUGCUGGAUGGCAUCGGGGUCGGCAAGCACGUUCGCUCAAGUUUCCUGCUUGCCUAGCAUCUGCCCGACCUCCCCAGCCAACCCAGCCGCCCCCUCCGGGCUGAGCCCCUGUGCUGGUGGUCGACAAGAUUUUUUUAGUUAAUGAUGAGAUGUUUAGCCAUCCUCCCUGGGGCUCCAAUCUGUGAGUAUGUUGGUGUGUUGAGGAGGACUGAAGAAGUGGGAGGUUCUAAAGAUGGACGGGAGGGCAGGGUCUGAUAUGCUUAUGCCAUCACUUCACGUUGAGAACGAUUCCGAGGCACCACCGCGCCGGAGGACUACAUCGAUGCUGGCUCUGUUGGAAGUUUCGCAAGGUUCAUAAACCACAGCUGCAACCGUAACCUCUUCGCCCAGUGUGUCCUAACAAAUCACCACGACGUCAAGCUACAAAAGGUGACGCUUUUUGCUGCCGACACGAUACUUCCACUUCAGGUAGCACCUGACAUCGACAGCUAUGACAUCAGGAACUCCCUCGCAGUUGUCGAAUACCUCGCUGAAAUUUAUAGCUUCUACAGACGGACCAAGUUGAGUUGUGAGCCCCCCACUUACAUGACACACCAAACUGAUAUCAAUGAGAAAAGGCGUAUUUUUCUGAUUGACUGGUUGAUUGAGUAUGCAGGUGCAGUACAAGCUUGAGCUACUGGGUGAAACACUAUUCCUUGCUGUCAACAUCAUUGAUAGAUCAAUGCAUAGAAAAGUAUGUCUCAAGUUUUCUCUUGAAUGGAACCUGCAAGUUUCUCAUCUGUUUAAUGAAGCUUACCUUGAAAAGAAUUAUAAAUACUACAGGAAGGAGAGUAAGAUAAUGACAGUUCAUUGGAAUAUGGAUUUUGAGAGGAUAUAUAUGGGUUUAGCUCUCUGUAAUUACAUAUUACUUUCCUUGCUGAUGCUAUUGCUCAUGUUAUAAAACUGGUCUACAUCGCACACAUGGU
This is a long non-coding RNA of Triticum dicoccoides, 1114 nucleotides long. RefSeq lists it as uncharacterized. The transcript is spliced from 6 exons. The record is from RefSeq and is a predicted model, not a curated record. Lineage: Eukaryota; Viridiplantae; Streptophyta; Magnoliopsida; Poales; Poaceae.